Molecule: ribosomal RNA, 462 nt
Filed under: uncultured bacterium
Lineage: Bacteria
Description: partial 16S ribosomal RNA
Rfam family: Bacterial small subunit ribosomal RNA
Source: RNAcentral
GACGAACGCUGGCGGCGUGCUUAAUACAUGCAAGUCGAACGGAAAGGCCCUUCGGGGUCCCCGAGUGGCGAACGGGCGGGUAACACGGUGGUGAUUUGCCCUCCACUCUGGGAUACGCCUGGGAAACUGGGUCUAAUACCGUAUAGGACCACGCUCUAUAUGGCGUCAGGUGGCAAUCGUUUGCGGCGUGGGAUGGGCCCCUGGUCUAUCAGUUUGCUGGUGGGGUAAUGGCCUACCAAGGCGACGACGGGUAGCCGGCCUGGGAGUGUGACCGGCCACACUGGGACUGAGAUACGGACCAGACUGCAACGGGCCGCAGCAGGGGGGAGUAUUACGGAGUGGGCGCAAGCCUGAUGCAGCGGCGCCGCGUGAGGAAUGACGGCUUUCGAGUUGAGAACCUCUUUCAAUGGGGACGAAGCGCAAGUGACGGUACCUAUAGAAGAAGCACCGGCCAACUACGUG